AUUGAACGCUGGCGGAAUGCUUUACACAUGCAAGUCGAACGGCAGCACGGGGGCAACCCUGGUGGCGAGUGGCGAACGGGUGAGUAAUACAUCGGAACGUGCCCAGUCGUGGGGGAGAACGUAGCGAAAGUUACGCUAAUACCGCAUGCGAUCUACGGACGAAAGCGGGGGACCGUAAGGCCCCGCGCGAUUGGAGCGGCCGAUGUCAGAUUAGGUAGUUGGUGAGGUAAAGGCUCACCAAGCCGACGAUCUGUAGCUGGUCUGAGAGGACGACCAGCCACACUGGGACUGAGACACGGCCCAGACUCCUACGGGAGGCAGCAGUGGGGAAUUUUGGACAAUGGGCGCAAGCCUGAUCCAGCCAUUCCGCGUGCAGGACGAAGGCCUUCGGGUUGUAAACUGCUUUUGUACGGAACGAAAAGGCUCUGGUUAAUACCUGGGGCUCAUGACGGUACCGUAAGAAUAAGCACCGGCUAACUACGUGCCAGCCGCCGCCGUAA
Molecule: ribosomal RNA, 500 nt
Filed under: uncultured bacterium
Lineage: Bacteria
Description: partial 16S ribosomal RNA
Rfam family: Bacterial small subunit ribosomal RNA
Source: RNAcentral